Molecule: non-coding RNA, 22 nt
Filed under: Arabidopsis thaliana (thale cress)
Lineage: Eukaryota; Viridiplantae; Streptophyta; Magnoliopsida; Brassicales; Brassicaceae
Source: RNAcentral
CUGAUGGGCCGUUGUUCUGAUG